AUUUCGUGAUGAGGGCACUUCCGUAAUAAUUCUUAUAUACAUUUCCCAUGCCUCAUACAAGAACUCAUCAUCCAUUUGUUGGAAAGCAGUGAUCUCGUUCCUCAACUU
Gossypium raimondii (Peruvian cotton) is the source of this 108-nucleotide non-coding RNA. NCBI's taxonomy places the organism in Eukaryota, Viridiplantae, Streptophyta, Magnoliopsida, Malvales, Malvaceae. The record is from Rfam.